CCGUGAUGCCCAGGUCAGAUCUCAGCAGCAAAAGGGCUCCUGCCUUACAGUUUUCAACAAACAUGUUCAUUGCUGAUGUCUUGUUAUUGGCAACCUACCUUUGCCCCCAAACGCAUAGAUAGUCCAUGUAUUUGACCGUUUCAUUGUCUACCGAAAUUUUACUGAACCCCCCGAGCAGAACCUCCCUAUGGCCUGGCUGGACAAGCUUACAUCCUGGAGAUUCAUCCUUGCAGGGAGGCGCCUCCUACUCAGAGCGGAUUCCGGAGCUGCUGGUCUGUGAGCAAGCCCCCCACACACAUACUGGACAAGGCUACAGGUCAGGCUGCUGUUGCAGAGAAGUGAAGGUGGGCUAGUGUUCAGGCCAGAAUGGGUAACCCUUGGGUGCCAGUAUCCAAUCUGACCGGACAGGCCACCUUGGCCCCAGAUGCAGCUUUCAAAUUAGCCAUCAAGUCACAAAUACUUAUUGAGCACCUACUGAGUGUCCAGGGCCCAGGGAAUGAAGGACACAUACAAACUGAAGAAAGAAGAAACUAAAAAUGUUGGUUGCUAUCAUGUAUUGUACAUGUGUUUCCACUCACGGUGCAGAGGGGCGAACAAUCUGCUUAAUGCUACAGAAAGCAAGCAUAGCACUAGAGUCUUGAAAAGCACAGAUCCUGGAGCCAGACAGACCUCAGUUGCAAUGCUGGCCCUGCCAGUUUCCAGCCGUGUGUCCUCAGGCACAUCGCUUCACCUCUCUGGGCCUCAGUUUUCUCAGCGGUAAAAUGGGAUUGUGGGGAAGGCUUUAAAUAACUUCAUGCACACAAAGCGCUCUGAAAAGCCCGCAGGGCACUGGAAGUGAACAAUAAAUACCAGCAGACCUCGGCGUUGUUGUUUUUAUCCUUAGUUAUUACUAAGCAGAAGCAGCUGGGAUUUGAAAGUCUGACUAAAGUCGGGGGGUGGGGGGGUCUCAGUCAACCCCCAUGCGGCCCCGGAAGCCUCUCCUCCCCCACCCCGGGCCCCUACUUUCCACCCGCAAACCCCCGCUAAGGUGCUUCCCCGAGACGUGCUCACCUCCCCGGGUGGAGCCCAGCAGCCGCAGGGUCCCGCGGCCCGCCCUCCGCUCGCCGCGCGGGGGCGGGAAAGCCCCGCCCUCGGCCCCGCCCCCUGCCCGCCCCUCCCUCGGCGAGUUCGGGGCUCCGGCUGCGGCGGCGGCUGGGUCACCCGCGCGGAGCGGUUCGGCCGGACGCGACGGGACGGGCGCCCGGGAGCCUGGCGCCGAGCCUCCCGCGCGGCGCGCCGAGCCGGCGAGGCACCUGCGACCUGGGUCGGGGGCCGCGACCGCUCCAGCGAGGAGGUGGGUCCCAGGACAGCUCCCUGCCAGUCUGGCGAGCAGCUGAGUUCGGUCAAUCAUCAACCAGCUAGUAGAGGUGAGAAAGCAAGUCAGUAGUCUGUCCCGCCUUUAACCCCGUGAGCCACUCGUGGGCCACAGAUUCAUCCAGAGAGCGUCCACAGGUCUGCCGGACUCCCCAGCAUUCCCGUGCUGGUGCGGCUGCUUGCUUCACGACGUCCUUGUACCCCCCGCCGCCCCAGGCAGCCCCAUUUCUGCUGCUCUCAGCCAGGCACUGAAAUUGACAGGGGAUGGGGGCCUGAGGACCCCAUUAGUGGCCUGCAGAGUUCCAUGUGACUUGGGCAUUGCAGACUGAGGUCAGUUGUCCAUUAAGCUAUGGAACUGAACACUCCACUUAGCAGUGUAUAUGGGACACAGUUAAAUAAUGAAAAUAAAAAUAGAACAUCGCAAGAGCCUGGGGCUGUC
This 1792-nucleotide long non-coding RNA is filed under the name Felis catus (domestic cat). Its description in RNAcentral is "lncRNA (ENSFCAG00000047049.1)". The record is from RNAcentral. Lineage: Eukaryota; Metazoa; Chordata; Mammalia; Carnivora; Felidae.